This 51-nucleotide non-coding RNA is filed under the name Trichobilharzia regenti. The record is from RNAcentral. Lineage: Eukaryota; Metazoa; Platyhelminthes; Trematoda; Strigeidida; Schistosomatidae.
GUACUGCUGAAGAGUCCCAAACUAGGACGGGGGGAAACAGCUGUCCAGUAC